RNAcentral lists this ribosomal RNA (600 nucleotides) under Aspergillus fumigatus. RNAcentral's name for it is "partial 18S ribosomal RNA". The stretch from base 222 to 375 matches the Rfam family "5.8S ribosomal RNA". Lineage: Eukaryota; Fungi; Ascomycota; Eurotiomycetes; Eurotiales; Aspergillaceae. The record is from RNAcentral.
AAGGUUUCCGUAGGUGAACCUGCGGAAGGAUCAUUACCGAGUGAGGGCCCUCUGGGUCCAACCUCCCACCCGUGUCUAUCGUACCUUGUUGCUUCGGCGGGCCCGCCGUUUCGACGGCCGCCGGGGAGGCCUUGCGCCCCCGGGCCCGCGCCCGCCGAAGACCCCAACAUGAACGCUGUUCUGAAAGUAUGCAGUCUGAGUUGAUUAUCGUAAUCAGUUAAAACUUUCAACAACGGAUCUCUUGGUUCCGGCAUCGAUGAAGAACGCAGCGAAAUGCGAUAAGUAAUGUGAAUUGCAGAAUUCAGUGAAUCAUCGAGUCUUUGAACGCACAUUGCGCCCCCUGGUAUUCCGGGGGGCAUGCCUGUCCGAGCGUCAUUGCUGCCCUCAAGCACGGCUUGUGUGUUGGGCCCCCGUCCCCCUCUCCCGGGGGACGGGCCCGAAAGGCAGCGGCGGCACCGCGUCCGGUCCUCGAGCGUAUGGGGCUUUGUCACCUGCUCUGUAGGCCCGGCCGGCGCCAGCCGACACCCAACUUUAUUUUUCUAAGGUUGACCUCGGAUCAGGUAGGGAUACCCGCUGAACUUAAGCAUAUCAAUAAGCGGA